GAUGAACGCUGGCGGCGUGCCUAACACAUGCAAGUCGAACGAAGCAACUCAAAGUUUUCGGACAGAGAGUUGACUGAGUGGCGGACGGGUGAGUAACGCGUGGGUAACCUGCCUCAUACAGGGGGAUAACAGUUAGAAAUGACUGCUAAUACCGCAUAAGCGCACAGCACCGCAUGAUGCAGUGUGAAAAGCCGAGACGGUAUGAGAUGGACCCGCGUCUGAUUAGCUAGUUGGUGGGGUAACGGCCCACCAAGGCGACGAUCAGUAGCCGACCUGAGAGGGUGACCGGCCACAUUGGGACUGAGACACGGCCCAG
This 316-nucleotide ribosomal RNA is filed under the name uncultured bacterium. RNAcentral's name for it is "bacterial SSU rRNA". It matches the Rfam family "Bacterial small subunit ribosomal RNA", at positions 28 to 334 of the family's 1533-position model. The record is from RNAcentral.